This 433-nucleotide ribosomal RNA is filed under the name uncultured bacterium. RNAcentral describes it as "bacterial SSU rRNA". It matches the Rfam family "Bacterial small subunit ribosomal RNA", at positions 335 to 758 of the family's 1533-position model. The record is from RNAcentral.
ACUCCUACGGGAGGCAGCAGUGGGAAGUAUUGCACAAUGGGGGAAACCCUGAUGCAGCCAUGCCGCGUGUGUGAAGAAGGCCUUCGGGUUGUAAAGCACUUUCAGUAGGGAGGAAGGUAGUGUAGUUAACACCUGCAUUAUUUGACGUUACCUACAGAAGAAGCACCGGCUAACUCCGUGCCAGCAGCCGCGGUAAUACGGAGGGUGCGAGCGUUAAUCGGAAUUACGUGGGCGUAAAGCGCAUGCAGGCGGCCUGUUAAGUCAGAUGUGAAAGCCCGGGGUCUUAACCGUCGGAAUUGCAUUUGAAACUGGCAGGCUAGAGUCUUGUAGAGGGGUUAGAAUUUCAGGUGUAGCGGUGAAAUGCGUAGAGAUCUGAAGGAAUACCGAGUGGCGAAGGCGGCCCCUGGACAAAGACUGACGCUCAGAUGCGAAA